This 74-nucleotide transfer RNA is filed under the name Enterococcus faecium. RNAcentral describes it as "tRNA-Met". It matches the Rfam family "tRNA". Rfam says of the family: Transfer RNA (tRNA) molecules are approximately 80 nucleotides in length. The record is from RNAcentral. Lineage: Bacteria; Bacillati; Bacillota; Bacilli; Lactobacillales; Enterococcaceae.
GUACCCUUAGCUCAGUCGGUUAGAGCAGACGGCUCAUAACCGUCCGGUCGUAGGUUCGAGUCCUACAGGGUACA